This 124-nucleotide small nucleolar RNA is filed under the name Nannospalax galili (Upper Galilee mountains blind mole rat). Lineage: Eukaryota; Metazoa; Chordata; Mammalia; Rodentia; Spalacidae. The record is from RNAcentral.
UGAUGUAUUGAAGUAGUUUAAAAAUAGCAGUAGGAGUUCGCUUGUGGACCAGAGCGCCGUAGAAUCCCAGCCAAAGCUGAGCAAGGUCUCUGAAGGCCCAUGCCAGCAGCACUUCUGAACACAC